RNAcentral lists this long non-coding RNA (720 nucleotides) under Mustela putorius furo (domestic ferret). RNAcentral's name for it is "lncRNA (ENSMPUG00000026311.1)". Lineage: Eukaryota; Metazoa; Chordata; Mammalia; Carnivora; Mustelidae. The record is from RNAcentral.
GCUCUGGAGAUGGACGGUAGGCAUGGUAGGACAACGUGAAUGUACUUACUGCCCCAGAACUGUACUCAUGAACGUGGUGAAAAUGGCAACAGAAAACGGCUAGUCUGUGUAAGCGAAGGGGAAGGACGUGGACCCUGGGGUGCCUCGCAGGGUGGCAAGAGACUUGACCGGCUGGGCUCCGGAGGGCAGGGCCCGGAGCUUUCUCCGCGAGAAGCGCCUGCAGGAACGAACCCCAGCUCUCAUCCUACGCCGGCCCUGGCUCUCUCGGGUCUCAUGUUCAGAUUCCCAGGAGAGAGGCUCUGCAUGGACUCACCUGGAUCACUGGGCGGUGGUCAGGGGUCAGGGUCACUGGUACAGAUGGGGAGGGACCAUUUUGCAUCCUGCGGAGGAGUCCAGACCUGUCCCACUGUCUGUGCUGGUCUCCGGCCUCCCUGCUGGGGCCUUCCUCCUUGGCUCUCAGGUAGCUUUGGGCGAGUCAGCCCUGGGGGAACCUGAAGGCAUGAUUUGCGUUUUAAUUAAAGAGGUGCAGAGCCCAAAGGCCUUGGGGUCCUACAGGGCUGGUUCCCCCAAAUGCCGGAAAGCAUGUGCUCUGUAGCAGAUGGGAUGCCCAUGGUAAGGGGCCCACGCCGGGUACCUCCCGACACACCGCCCCGGGGUGCCUCCAACUUCUGCCUUUGGCUUCCUCGUGUUCCCCCCAACUCCCUUCCAUCUCCCUCUCCA